AGUGAACGCUGGCGGCAGGCCUAACACAUGCAAGUCGAACGGCAGCACAAGAGAGCUUGCUCUCUGGGUGGCGAGUGGCGGACGGGUGAGGAAUGCAUCGGAAUCUGCCCAUUUGUGGGGGAUAACCUCGGGAAACCGGGACUAAUACCGCAUACGACCUACGGGUGAAAGCAGGGGAUCUUUGGACCUUGCGCAGAUGGAUGAGCCGAUGCCGGAUUAGCUAGUUGGAGGGGUAAAGGCCCACCAAGGCGACGAUCCGUAGCUGGUCUGAGAGGAUGAUCAGCCACACUGGAACUGAGACACGGCCCAGACUCCUACGGGAGGCAGCAGUGGGGAAUAUUGGACAAUGGGCGCAAGCCUGAUCCAGCCAUGCCGCGUGUGUGAAGAAGGCCUUCGGGUUGUAAAGCACUUUUGUUGGGAAAGAAAAGCAGCCGGUUAAUACCCGGUUGUCAUGACGGUACCCAAAGAAUAAGCACCGGCUAACUUCGUG
This 490-nucleotide ribosomal RNA is filed under the name uncultured bacterium. RNAcentral's name for it is "partial 16S ribosomal RNA". It matches the Rfam family "Bacterial small subunit ribosomal RNA", at positions 29 to 507 of the family's 1533-position model. The record is from RNAcentral.